RNAcentral lists this ribosomal RNA (913 nucleotides) under Trichophyton sp. DV-2018d. RNAcentral's name for it is "LSU rRNA". It matches the Rfam family "Eukaryotic large subunit ribosomal RNA", at positions 36 to 965 of the family's 3401-position model. The record is from RNAcentral. Lineage: Eukaryota; Fungi; Ascomycota; Eurotiomycetes; Onygenales; Arthrodermataceae.
UAGCAUAUCAAUAAGCGGAGGAAAAGAAACCAACAGGGAUUGCCCCAGUAACGGCGAGUGAAGCGGCAAGAGCUCAAAUUUGAAAUCUGGCCUCCUCCGGGGGUCCGAGUUGUAAUUUGCAGAGGAUGCUUCGGGUGCGGCCCCCGUCUAAGUUCCUUGGAACAGGACGUCAGAGAGGGUGAGAAUCCCGUCUUGGGCGGGCGGCCCGCGCCCGUGUGAAGCUCCUUCGACGAGUCGAGUUGUUUGGGAAUGCAGCUCUAAGCGGGUGGUAAAUUUCAUCUAAAGCUAAAUAUUGGCCGGAGACCGAUAGCGCACAAGUAGAGUGAUCGAAAGGUUAAAAGCACCUUGAAAAGGGAGUUAAACAGCACGUGAAAUUGUUGAAAGGGAAGCGCUUGCGGCCAGACUCGGGGGCGGGGUUCAGCGGGCGCUCGUCGCCCGUGCACUCCCCGCGCCCCGGGCCAGCAUCAGUUUCGACGGUCGGUCAAAGGCCCCCGGAAUGUGUCGUCUCUAGGGACGUCUUAUAGCCGGGGGUGCAAUGCGGCCCGUCGGGACUGAGGAACGCGCUUCGGCUCGGAUGCUGGCGUAAUGGCCGUAAGCGGCCCGUCUUGAAACACGGACCAAGGAGUCUAACAUCCACGCGAGUGUUCGGGUGUCAAACCCGUGCGCGCAGUGAAAGCGAACGGAGGUGGGAGCCUUUGGGCGCACCAUCGACCGAUCCUGAAGUCUUCGGAUGGAUUUGAGUAGGAGCGUGGCCGUUGGGACCCGAAAGAUGGUGAACUAUGCCUGAAUAGGGUGAAGCCAGAGGAAACUCUGGUGGAGGCUCGCAGCGGUUCUGACGUGCAAAUCGAUCGUCAAAUUUGGGCAUAGGGGCGAAAGACUAAUCGAACCAUCUAGUAGCUGGGUUCCGGGCCCA